Molecule: ribosomal RNA, 1372 nt
Filed under: uncultured bacterium
Lineage: Bacteria
Description: bacterial SSU rRNA
Rfam family: Bacterial small subunit ribosomal RNA
Source: RNAcentral
GAUGAACGCUGGCGGCGUGCCUAAUACAUGCAAGUCGAGCGAACGGACGAGAAGCUUGCUUCUCUGAUGUUAGCGGCGGACGGGUGAGUAACACGUGGAUAACCUACCUAUAAGACUGGGAUAACUUCGGGAAACCGGAGCUAAUACCGGAUAAUAUUUUGAACCGCAUGGUUCAAAAGUGAAAGACGGUCUUGCUGUCACUUAUAGAUGGAUCCGCGCUGCAUUAGCUAGUUGGUAAGGUAACGGCUUACCAAGGCAACGAUGCAUAGCCGACCUGAGAGGGUGAUCGGCCACACUGGAACUGAGACACGGUCCAGACUCCUACGGGAGGCAGCAGUAGGGAAUCUUCCGCAAUGGGCGAAAGCCUGACGGAGCAACGCCGCGUGAGUGAUGAAGGUCUUCUGAUCGUAAAACUCUGUUAUUAGGGAAGAACAUAUGUGUAAGUAACUGUGCACAUCUUGACGGUACCUAAUCAGAAAGCCACGGCUAACUACGUGCCAGCAGCCGCGGUAAUACGUAGGUGGCAAGCGUUAUCCGGAAUUAUUGGGCGUAAAGCGCGCGUAGGCGGUUUUUUAAGUCUGAUGUGAAAGCCCACGGCUCAACCGUGGAGGGUCAUUGGAAACUGGAAAACUUGAGUGCAGAAGAGGAAAGUGGAAUUCCAUGUGUAGCGGUGAAAUGCUCAGAGAUAUGGAGGAACACCAGUGGCGAAGGCGACUUUCUGGUCUGUAACUGACGCUGAUGUGCGAAAGCGUGGGGAUCAAACAGGAUUAGAUACCCUGGUAGUCCACGCCGUAAACGAUGAGUGCUAAGUGUUAGGGGGUUUCCGCCCCUUAGUGCUGCAGCUAACGCAUUAAGCACUCCGCCUGGGGAGUACGACCGCAAGGUUGAAACUCAAAGGAAUUGACGGGGACCCGCACAAGCGGUGGAGCAUGUGGUUUAAUUCGAAGCAACGCGAAGAACCUUACCAAAUCUUGACAUCCUUUGACAACUCUAGAGAUAGAGCCUUCCCCUUCGGGGGACAAAGUGACAGGUGGUGCAUGGUUGUCGUCAGCUCGUGUCGUGAGAUGUUGGGUUAAGUCCCGCAACGAGCGCAACCCUUAAGCUUAGUUGCCAUCAUUAAGUUGGGCACUCUAAGUUGACUGCCGGUGACAAACCGGAGGAAGGUGGGGAUGACGUCAAAUCAUCAUGCCCCUUAUGAUUUGGGCUACACACGUGCUACAAUGGACAAUACAAAGGGCAGCGAAACCGCGAGGUCAAGCAAAUCCCAUAAAGUUGUUCUCAGUUCGGAUUGUAGUCUGCAACUCGACUACAUGAAGCUGGAAUCGCUAGUAAUCGUAGAUCAGCGUGCUACGGUGAAUACGUUCCCGGGUCU